UGAUCACCGCGGGGAGCAAGAUUCUGCCUGGGUGCACUCUAAUGCAUAAUUGUACCAGCACCUUUAAAGCGUUUAAAACGAAUGAUGCAAUCAGCUAUCAACAUCUUUCAAGACUUAACCUCACUGUCUCUUCUACUACAAACUCGAGACGUGUCAGCUGGAAUGACUACACUGUUUCAGAAUACAGCAUCCACACAUAUGCCAUAAUUUGCUACCCCUCUUAGGCUUCAUUUUAAUGUUGUAAUUGUGAACACCAUGCAAGUUGUGAAACACUUCAGUUGUGAGCUUGAUGAAAUGUUUUUUUUGUAUUCUUU
This is a long non-coding RNA of Clupea harengus (Atlantic herring), 314 nucleotides long. The record is from Ensembl. Lineage: Eukaryota; Metazoa; Chordata; Actinopteri; Clupeiformes; Clupeidae.